RNAcentral lists this ribosomal RNA (408 nucleotides) under uncultured microorganism. RNAcentral describes it as "bacterial SSU rRNA". It matches the Rfam family "Bacterial small subunit ribosomal RNA", at positions 509 to 917 of the family's 1533-position model. The record is from RNAcentral.
CAGCCGCCGCGGUAAUACGUAGGGUGCGAGCGUUAAUCGGAAUUACUGGGCGUAAAGCGUGCGCAGGCGGUUUUGUAAGACAGAGGUGAAAUCCCCGGGCUCAACCUGGGAACUGCCUUUGUGACUGCAAGGCUGGAGUGCGGCAGAGGGGGAUGGAAUUCCGCGUGUAGCAGUGAAAUGCGUAGAUAUGCGGAGGAACACCGAUGGCGAAGGCAAUCCCCUGGGCCUGCACUGACGCUCAUGCACGAAAGCGUGGGGAGCAAACAGGAUUAGAUACCCUGGUAGUCCACGCCCUAAACGAUGUCAACUGGUUGUUGGACGGCUGGCUGUUCAGUAACGAAGCUAACGCGUGAAGUUGACCGCCUGGGGAGUACGGCCGCAAGGUUGAAACUUAAAGGAAUUGGCGGG